GUGGGAUGGUUUCUUUAAUGAGCAUAGAUUUUGCAGCUUCCAUGUCUUUGUAAUACUUUUUUAUCCUUUCAAUUAACCUUCUUUAUGCUGAGAGGAGGUUGCAUCAGUUUUGAAUAUUCAGGAAGUUGACAGUUGACCUAUGAGCAUAAUCAUCAUUUUCAUGGUUAAUAAUCCUUGAUGAAAAAAAAAUCUUUCAUACAAUAAG
RNAcentral lists this long non-coding RNA (205 nucleotides) under Mytilus galloprovincialis (Mediterranean mussel). Lineage: Eukaryota; Metazoa; Mollusca; Bivalvia; Mytilida; Mytilidae. The record is from RNAcentral.